This 496-nucleotide ribosomal RNA is filed under the name Heterocarpus oryx. RNAcentral describes it as "partial large subunit ribosomal RNA". It matches the Rfam family "Bacterial large subunit ribosomal RNA", at positions 1833 to 2583 of the family's 2925-position model. Lineage: Eukaryota; Metazoa; Arthropoda; Malacostraca; Decapoda; Pandalidae. The record is from RNAcentral.
GUAUGUUUAUUAAUAUAAAGUCUGACCUGCCCACUGAAGUACUUUAAAGGGCCGCGGUAAUUUGACCGUGCGAAGGUAGCAUAAUCAGUAGUCUUUUAAUUGAAGGCUGGAAUGAAUGGUCGGACAAAGAGUUAGCUGUCUUUUAUGUAGAUCUUGAAUUUUACUUUUAGGUGAAAAGGCUUAAAUAUAGUGGGGGGACGAUAAGACCCUAUAAAACUUUACAGAUAUAGUUUGUAUUUUUUGAAUUAAAGUUUAAUAUUGUCCACUGAUUAUCUGUUGUGUUGGGGCGACAAAGAUAUAAUUUUAAUAGCUGUCAAUUUCAUUAAAUAGCGAUAAUUAGUUUAGUUGAUCCUUUGUUAGAGAUUAUAAGAUUAAGUUACUUUAGGGAUAACAGCGUAAUUUUUUCUGAGAGUCCAUAUCGACGAAAAUAGUUGCGACCUCGAUGUUGAAUUAAGAUUUCCCUUAGGUGAAGCCGUUUAAGUGGUGGGUCUGUUCG